GAAGAAUGGGACAUCCUACGGUCUCGUGGACUGGACAGACAUGCACAUGCAGCAGCCACUGUUAGUCCGCAGGACCGCAAGUGCUCAUGAAGUGUGCCAUUUUGGACAGGAACUUGGACUAAAACAAUGUGAUGGUGUAAAUUCAGGUUUCAUUUUAAUGUGAAGAGUUUGAAAGUGACUUGUCAUCUAACUACCUGGUCUUUUUUCCAGUAAGAGGGACAUUUUCACACCUAUGGAAAUUCACAUCUCCGUAUACAUUUGUGCAGAGACGCUUUGCAGGACAUGGAGGCGUCAGUGUGAUCACUUUUCAGUGGAUAUGCUGUUAUUUUUUGCUCAUAAAGGAGCAGAGCAGACCGAGUCAUCGGAGAAAACGAG
Molecule: long non-coding RNA, 375 nt
Organism: Cyprinus carpio carpio
Lineage: Eukaryota; Metazoa; Chordata; Actinopteri; Cypriniformes; Cyprinidae
Source: Ensembl